GAUGAACGCUGGCGGCGUGCUUAACACAUGCAAGUCGAACGAGAAGUGAAGACGGAACCCUUCGGGCGGAAGGCUUUAUUUCGAGUGGCGGACGGGUGAGUAACGCGUGGGUAACCUGCCUCAUACAGGGGGAUAACAGUUGGAAACGACUGUUAAUACCGCAUAAGACCACAGCACCGCAUGGUGCGGGGGUAAAAACUCCGGUGGUAUGAGAUGGGCCCGCGUUCGAUUAGCCAGUUGGCGGGGUAACGGCCCACCAAAGCGACGAUCGAUAGCCGAUCUGAGAGGAUGACCGGCCACAUUGGGACUGAGACACGGCCCAAACUCCUACGGGAGGCAGCAGUGGGGAAUAUUGCACAAUGGGGGAAACCCUGAUGCAGCGACGCCGCGUGAGUGAAGAAGUAUUUCGGUAUGUAAAGCUCUAUCAGCAGGGAAGAAAAUGACGGUACCUGAGGAAGAAGCCCCGGCUAACUACGUG
Molecule: ribosomal RNA, 478 nt
Filed under: uncultured bacterium
Lineage: Bacteria
Description: partial 16S ribosomal RNA
Rfam family: Bacterial small subunit ribosomal RNA
Source: RNAcentral